GAUGAACGCUGGCGGCGUGCCUAAUACAUGCAAGUCGAGCGAACAGACGAGGAGCUUGCUCCUCUGACGUUAGCGGCGGACGGGUGAGUAACACGUGGAUAACCUACCUAUAAGACUGGGAUAACUUCGGGAAACCGGAGCUAAUACCGGAUAAUAUAUUGAACCGCAUGGUUCAAUAGUGAAAGACGGUUUUGCUGUCACUUAUAGAUGGAUCCGCGCCGCAUUAGCUAGUUGGUAAGGUAACGGCUUACCAAGGCAACGAUGCGUAGCCGACCUGAGAGGGUGAUCGGCCACACUGGAACUGAGACACGGUCCAGACUCCUACGGGAGGCAGCAGUGGGGAAUCUUCCGCAAUGGGCGAAAGCCCGACGGAGCAACGCCGCGUGAGUGAUGAAGGUCUUCGGAUCGUAAAACUCUGUUAUUAGGGAAGAACAAAUGUGUAAGUAACUAUGCACGUCUUGACGGUACCUAAUCAGAAAGCCACGGCUAACUACGUG
RNAcentral lists this ribosomal RNA (497 nucleotides) under uncultured bacterium. Its description in RNAcentral is "partial 16S ribosomal RNA". It matches the Rfam family "Bacterial small subunit ribosomal RNA", at positions 28 to 507 of the family's 1533-position model. The record is from RNAcentral.